Molecule: ribosomal RNA, 453 nt
Filed under: uncultured Porphyromonadaceae bacterium
Lineage: Bacteria; Pseudomonadati; Bacteroidota; Bacteroidia; Bacteroidales; Porphyromonadaceae
Description: partial 16S ribosomal RNA
Rfam family: Bacterial small subunit ribosomal RNA
Source: RNAcentral
ACGGGAGGCAGCAGUGAGGAAUAUUGGUCAAUGGGCGGAAGCCUGAACCAGCCAAGUCGCGUGAAGGAAGAAGGUAUUAUGUAUUGUAAACUUCUUUAGCAGCAGAGAAAUAAGGUGGACGUGUCCACUGAUGCUAGUAUGCUGAGAAUAAGCAUCGGCUAACUCCGUGCCAGCAGCCGCGGUAAUACGGAGGAUGCGAGCGUUAUCCGGAUUUAUUGGGUUUAAAGGGUGCGCAGGCGGUCUUUUAAGUCAGUGGUCAAAUCGUGGUGCUCAACGCCAUCCCGCCAUUGAUACUGGGAGACUUGAUUGCGGUUGAGGUAGGCGGAAUUCGUCGUGUAGCGGUGAAAUGCAUAGAUAUGACGAAGAACUCCGAUUGGGAAGCCAGCUUACUGUAGCGCCACUGACGCUGAUGCUCGAAAGCGUGGGUAUCGAACAGGAUUAGAUACCCUGGUA